GCCCGGAUGGUCUAGUGGUAUGAUUCUCGCUUUGGGAUGGUUUAAUCUUAAAUGCGAGAGGCCCCGCGUUCGAAUCGCGGUUCGGGCC
This is a non-coding RNA of Aspergillus ibericus CBS 121593, 88 nucleotides long. NCBI's taxonomy places the organism in Eukaryota, Fungi, Ascomycota, Eurotiomycetes, Eurotiales, Aspergillaceae. The record is from the annotation of a RefSeq genome assembly.